Molecule: long non-coding RNA, 216 nt
Filed under: Sorghum bicolor (sorghum)
Lineage: Eukaryota; Viridiplantae; Streptophyta; Magnoliopsida; Poales; Poaceae
Description: long non-coding RNA (SBIC_LNC009392)
Source: RNAcentral
GGACAAAAACAGGGGGAGAGCUUCCCCACCUUGAAUUCGUUAGAUCAGAGAGUUCUCCAGCGAACUGGAGUUGGUAUUUAGACUGUUUAUUACAAGAGUUGCAUUUUUUAAGGCGUUUGCGCCAGAUUAUAAUUAAGAUCAUCACAUACGCGUGAAAUGAUAAGCCGGUCAUUGCUCCUUUUGUUUCGGAAGAUUUCUCUAUUUCUGGCGUCCCAC